UUGUGUUUGUGUCCACGUAGAUAAGCUGUUUCCUCCCCCAAUCCGAAUGGUGUUGGGCGGCCUCUUUUAACGUAUAUGCUAAUGAAGCUUGGUUGUCUGCCUGCCUGUGUCACCAAGCUACCUGCUUGCUUCCGGUCAGCCCAACCUCACGCUGAGACAAGAGACUUCACAGUGGGUUUUCCUUAGGCGAUUCCCCCAAAGCUACUUGUCACCGCUCUUCCAUCCCCCUUUUGCUGCCACCACUCUUUCAUUGUGGCUGAGAACCUCUUUUUUUCCUAUCCAAACACCCCUUAAGGUAUUACGUUUUCGACGCCCCUCAGCCCCUCACUUCUCUUCUAUCUAUUGUAAUUAUAUCUAUUUUGGAACUCAAUUUUAUAUUUUUUUAGGUCUUUAAUCUUGAUCUUUUCGGAUUUACAAAAUCGUACAUUGAAUUUAUUGAUAAUGUUUCUUGAUUGCAUUUUCUACUCUAUGAAUUUGUAGAUGGUAAUGGAAUAACAAUCGUUCUUCUACCUCAUUUGCCCUACUUCAUCUCGGUACGACUGGAGACGGACGUCCA
Molecule: long non-coding RNA, 556 nt
Filed under: Lactuca sativa (garden lettuce)
Lineage: Eukaryota; Viridiplantae; Streptophyta; Magnoliopsida; Asterales; Asteraceae
Description: long non-coding RNA (LSAT_LNC003756)
Source: RNAcentral